RNAcentral lists this ribosomal RNA (466 nucleotides) under uncultured bacterium. Its description in RNAcentral is "partial 16S ribosomal RNA". It matches the Rfam family "Bacterial small subunit ribosomal RNA", at positions 28 to 507 of the family's 1533-position model. The record is from RNAcentral.
GAUGAACGCUGGCGGCGUGCUUAACACAUGCAAGUCGAACGAUGAAGCCCAGCUUGCUGGGUGGAUUAGUGGCGAACGGGUGAGUAACACGUGAGUAACCUGCCCUUAACUCUGGGAUAAGCCUGGGAAACUGGGUCUAAUACCGGAUAGGAGCGUCCACCGCAUGGUGGGUGUUGGAAAGAUUUAUCGGUUUUGGAUGGACUCGCGGCCUAUCAGCUUGUUGGUGAGGUAAUGGCUCACCAAGGCGACGACGGGUAGCCGGCCUGAGAGGGUGACCGGCCACACUGGGCCUGCGACACGGCCCAGACUCCUACGGGAGGCAGCAGUGGGGAAUAUUGCACAAUGGGCGCAAGCCUGAUGCAGCGACGCCGCGUUAGGGAUGACGGCCUUCGGGUUGUAAACCUCUUUCAGUAGGGAAGAAGCGAAAGUGACGGUACCUGCAGAAGAAGCACCGGCUAACUACGUG